RNAcentral lists this ribosomal RNA (917 nucleotides) under Aspergillus nidulans. RNAcentral describes it as "LSU rRNA". It matches the Rfam family "Eukaryotic large subunit ribosomal RNA", at positions 35 to 968 of the family's 3401-position model. Lineage: Eukaryota; Fungi; Ascomycota; Eurotiomycetes; Eurotiales; Aspergillaceae. The record is from RNAcentral.
UAAGCAUAUCAAUAAGCGGAGGAAAAGAAACCAACCGGGAUUGCCUCAGUAACGGCGAGUGAAGCGGCAAGAGCUCAAAUUUGAAAGCUGGCCCCUUCGGGGUCCGCGUUGUAAUUUGCAGAGGAUGCUUCGGGUGCGGCCCCUGUCUAAGUGCCCUGGAACGGGCCGUCAGAGAGGGUGAGAAUCCCGUCUUGGGCAGGGUGCCCGUGCCCGUGUGAAGCUCCUUCGACGAGUCGAGUUGUUUGGGAAUGCAGCUCUAAAUGGGUGGUAAAUUUCAUCUAAAGCUAAAUACCGGCCGGAGACCGAUAGCGCACAAGUAGAGUGAUCGAAAGAUGAAAAGCACUUUGAAAAGAGAGUUAAACAGCACGUGAAAUUGUUGAAAGGGAAGCGCUUGCGACCAGACUCGGCCCCGGGGUUCAGCCAGCACUCGUGCUGGUGUACUUCCCCGGGGGCGGGCCAGCGUCGGUUUGGGCGGCCGGUCAAAGGCCCCAGGAAUGUAUCGCCCUCCGGGGUUGUCUUAUAGCCUGGGGUGCAAUGCGGCCAGCCCGGACCGAGGAACGCGCUUCGGCACGGACGCUGGCGUAAUGGUCGCAAACGACCCGUCUUGAAACACGGACCAAGGAGUCUAACAUCUACGCGAGUGUUCGGGUGUCAAACCCGUACGCGCAGUGAAAGCGAACGGAGGUGGGAGCCCCCCCGGGGCGCACCAUCGACCGAUCCUGAUGUCUUCGGAUGGAUUUGAGUAAGAGCGUAGCUGUGGGGACCCGAAAGAUGGUGAACUAUGCCUGAAUAGGGCGAAGCCAGAGGAAACUCUGGUGGAGGCUCGCAGCGGUUCUGACGUGCAAAUCGAUCGUCAAAUUUGGGUAUAGGGGCGAAAGACUAAUCGAACCAUCUGGUAGCUGGUUCCUGCCGAAGUU